UGCAAGUCGAACGGCAGCACGGGAGCUUGCUCCUGGUGGCGAGUGGCGAACGGGUGAGUAAUACAUCGGAACGUACCCAGUAGUGGGGGAUAACGCACCGAAAGGUGCGCUAAUACCGCAUACGACCUAAGGGUGAAAGCGGGGGACCGUAAGGCCUCGCGCUAUUGGAGCGGCCGAUGUCUGAUUAGCUAGUUGGUGAGGUAAAGGCUCACCAAGGCUUCGAUCAGUAGCUGGUCUGAGAGGACGAUCAGCCACACUGGGACUGAGACACGGCCCAGACUCCUACGGGAGGCAGCAGUGGGGAAUUUUGGACAAUGGGCGAAAGCCUGAUCCAGCAAUGCCGCGUGUGCGAAGAAGGCCUUCGGGUUGUAAAGCACUUUUGUCAGGGAAGAAAUCUUUUAGGCUAAUACCCUGGAAGGGUGACGGUACCUGAAGAAUAAGCACCGGCUAACUACGUGCCAGCAGCCGCGGUAAUACGUAGGGUGCAAGCGUUAAUCGGAAUUACUGGGCGUAAAGCGUGCGCAGGCGGUUUGUUAAGACAGUCGUGAAAUCCCCGGGCUUAACCUGGGAACUGCGAUUGUGACUGGCAAGCUAGAGUACGGCAGAGGGGGGUGGAAUUCCUGGUGUAGCAGUGAAAUGCGUAGAGAUCAGGAGGAACACCGAUGGCGAAGGCAGCCCCCUGGGCUAGUACUGACGCUCA
This 700-nucleotide ribosomal RNA is filed under the name uncultured bacterium. RNAcentral describes it as "bacterial SSU rRNA". It matches the Rfam family "Bacterial small subunit ribosomal RNA", at positions 56 to 749 of the family's 1533-position model. The record is from RNAcentral.